RNAcentral lists this ribosomal RNA (253 nucleotides) under uncultured bacterium. RNAcentral's name for it is "partial 16S ribosomal RNA". It matches the Rfam family "Bacterial small subunit ribosomal RNA", at positions 524 to 776 of the family's 1533-position model. The record is from RNAcentral.
UACAGAGGUCCCGAGCGUUGUUCGGAUUCACUGGGCGUAAAGGGUGCGUAGGUGGCAUAGAAAGUUUGAUGUGAAAGCUCAGGGCUUAACCCUGAAAUGGCAUUGAAUACUGCUGUGCUGGAGGCUUGGAGGGGGGACUGGAAUUCUUGGUGUAGCAGUGAAAUGCGUAGAUAUCAAGAGGAACACCAGUGGCGAAGGCGAGUCCCUGGACAACACCUGACACUGAGGCACGAAAGCUAGGGGAGCAAACAGG